Molecule: non-coding RNA, 478 nt
Organism: Prunus mume (Japanese apricot)
Lineage: Eukaryota; Viridiplantae; Streptophyta; Magnoliopsida; Rosales; Rosaceae
Source: RefSeq, a predicted model, not a curated record
GGUACUCACUUUAAGAAAGAAGGAUGGGAAAAUGUGAGGAUUAGUUGAGUAAAGAGACAUGAGUCGAGUAUGAUAAAUCACAAUUGAAAAUAAGUGGGAUGCACUUAAGGAACAAUGGAAAAUAUGGAAAGAACUAAUUGAAAAAGAAACUGGUCUUGGGUGGAAUUCCAAACUUGGGACUAUUGAUGCUUCUAAAGAAUGGUGGCAUAACAAGAUUAAGAUAAAUCCAAAAUAUGCAAAAUUACGUAGAAAGGGUAUUAGUCCUGAUAUGAAAGAGAAGUUUGAUAGAAUGUUCAUGAACACUACCGCCAUUGGUGACCAUGCUUGGGCACCUUCAUCUGGUGUACUUCCAACUCAUGAUUCAUCCGAAUGUGAUGGUAUUCUACUCGACAGUGGUGAUGAUUUUGAUGAUCCUGUAUACGUACCAGAUGAAACAAUUCAAGUUACUAAAAAAUCUUGUGGGAAGCAGUUUUUAAAA